Bombus terrestris (buff-tailed bumblebee) is the source of this 966-nucleotide long non-coding RNA. RefSeq lists it as uncharacterized. NCBI's taxonomy places the organism in Eukaryota, Metazoa, Arthropoda, Insecta, Hymenoptera, Apidae. The transcript has 2 exons. The record is from RefSeq and is a predicted model, not a curated record.
CCUGUAAACAGUAAUAGUUUUAUAGGCUGUUUUUAGCCCUCUGUAAACACCGAUACCAAAGUAUUGUACAAGACAAAUUGCGGCAAGUAUACAUCCUUGAAAAAUCUCUCAAUUAUUACAAAAUUUGGAAGUUACGUGAUUUCGUUUCAGAAAAAGUGAGAGGGGAAUGAGAAGCACGAAAGAGAUUAAAGGAACUAAGAUUUCGUUCAAAAGGAAUUCGAUAUUAUAAAAAUUGAAUAUACAUAAAGCUGAUAGAGGAGAAACUAACUUUCAAGUUAAAGUCUGUUCGCGUUAAAUUUCUUAAUUCCAGAUUUAAAAUACUUCAGCGUGCCAAAUUUCAAAUGUUUAGAAUAUAUUUCUCAAUAAGAUCGCUAGAAAUAUCGAAGAGCGAUAAACUUAAAUAGAAGACUACAAUUUCUUAGAAAUACAGUUUUCAUGGAAAUUUGUAAAUAUAACGGUAUGUGUAUAAUCGAUCUCAUAAACAACAAGGAAUUUCUAAAUUUGAAAUACAUAAAAAAAGAAAAACAGCGCCGUAAAAUAUAUCUUUUCGCUAAGAUUAUGUUUACGUUAAAAUUUCCCUGUUUGGUAUCUGGGAUAGUAUCUAACAAGUACGAGGAUAAUAAUGCCACAAAUUUAGGGCUUGUAAUGCUAGCAGACAGUAAACGCGCUAAAAAUAAGAAACUUAUGGACGAUAAUUUGCAAAGGUGUUUGUUGGCAUCCUGUCGCUUUCUAAGUAUAGCGGACACAAUUUUUCGCGGUCGAUUUCUUCAUCAUUCUUGUUAAACCAGAUUUUAUAAUUAUAUAUAUUUACAACUGCUAUUUAAAACUUGCAGUAAAAAAUAGAUUUCAUUAACACUUUGUACCAUACUACUCAGUAUUAACACAUAAUGCCAUCUAGUGCCAAGAUGAAAAUCACAUUAGCGUAUUACCUUUUUUAUUUAAUAAAAUUUAAAAUUUAUAAACUUA